RNAcentral lists this transfer RNA (67 nucleotides) under marine eukaryotic metagenome. It matches the Rfam family "tRNA". Rfam says of the family: Transfer RNA (tRNA) molecules are approximately 80 nucleotides in length. Their secondary structure includes four short double-helical elements and three loops (D, anti-codon, and T loops). The record is from RNAcentral.
GGGCGUAGCUCAGGGGCAGAGCAUUUGCUUCCCAAGCAAAGGGCCGUGGGUUCGAAUCCCAUCGCCC